GUUUGCUUAGCAUAGUGGUAAUUAUGUAGGCUCGUUGAGCCGAUGGCGCGAGUUCGAUUCUCGUAGAGAGAG
Non-coding RNA from Melanomma pulvis-pyrius CBS 109.77, 72 nucleotides. The record is from the annotation of a GenBank genome assembly. Lineage: Eukaryota; Fungi; Ascomycota; Dothideomycetes; Pleosporales; Melanommataceae.